UACGAAGGGGGCUAGCGUUGUUCGGAAUUACUGGGCGUAAAGCGUGCGUAGGCGGGUUGCUAAGUCAGGUGUGAAAUCCCGGGGCUCAACCUCGGAACUGCAUUUGAUACUGGCGGCCUAGAGACCGGGAGAGGUGAGCGGAAUACCGAGUGUAGAGGUGAAAUUCGUAGAUAUUCGGUGGAACACCAGUGGCGAAGGCGGCUCACUGGACCGGUACUGACGCUGAGGAACGAAAGCGUGGGGAGCAAACAGG
This 253-nucleotide ribosomal RNA is filed under the name uncultured bacterium. RNAcentral describes it as "partial 16S ribosomal RNA". It matches the Rfam family "Bacterial small subunit ribosomal RNA", at positions 524 to 776 of the family's 1533-position model. The record is from RNAcentral.